GACGAACGCUGGCGGCGUGCUUAACACAUGCAAGUCGAACGGAAAGGCCCUGCUUGCAGGGUACUCGAGUGGCGAACGGGUGAGUAACACGUGGGUGAUCUGCCCUGCACUUCGGGAUAAGCCUGGGAAACUGGGUCUAAUACCGGAUAUGACCUUCCAUGUAGUGUGGGGGGCGGAAAGAUUUAUCGGUGUGGGAUGAGCUCGCGGCCUAUCAGCUUGUUGGUGGGGUAAUGGCCUACCAAGGCGUCGACAGGUAGCCGGCCUGAGAGGGUGGACGGCCACAUUGGGACUGAGAUACGGCCCAGACUCCUACGGGAGGCAGCAGUGGGGAAUAUUGCACAAUGGGCGGAAGCCUUAUGCAGCGACGCCGCGUGGGGGAUAACGGCCAUCGGGUUGUAAACCUCUUUCGACAGGGACGAAGCUUCGGUGACGGUACCUGUAGAAGAAGCACCGGCUAACUACGUG
This 465-nucleotide ribosomal RNA is filed under the name uncultured bacterium. RNAcentral describes it as "partial 16S ribosomal RNA". It matches the Rfam family "Bacterial small subunit ribosomal RNA", at positions 28 to 507 of the family's 1533-position model. The record is from RNAcentral.